This 2066-nucleotide ribosomal RNA is filed under the name human gut metagenome. RNAcentral describes it as "bacterial LSU rRNA". It matches the Rfam family "Bacterial large subunit ribosomal RNA", at positions 829 to 2925 of the family's 2925-position model. The record is from RNAcentral.
CCAAUCGAACCCGGAGAUAGCUGGUUCUCCUCGAAAUAGCUUUAGGGCUAGCCUCGAUGGAGUCUUACGGAGGUAGAGCACUGAAUUUCUAAGGGGGCGUCAAAGCUUACCAAGGGAUAUCAAACUCCGAAUGCCGUAAAGAUGCUCAUCGGGAGUCAGACUGCACGAGAUAAGUUGGGCAGUCAAAAGGGAAAGAGCCCAGACCUGCUGCUAAGGUCCCAAAGUACGUGUUAAGUGGAAAAGGAUGUGGGAUUUCGAAGACAACUAGGAUGUUGGCUCAGAAGCAGCCACACAUUCAAAGAGUGCGUAAUAGCUCACUAGUCGAGAGGUCCUGCGCCGAAAAUGUCCGGGGCUGAAACACGACACCGAAGCACAGGAUACCGCAAGGUAUGGUAGAGGAGCAUUGCUGGCGCGAUGAAGCAGUACCGGAAGGAGCUGUGGAGUGCCAGGAAGAGAGAAUGCCGGAAUGAGUAGCGAGAGAGAGGUGGGAAUCCUCUCGGCCGAAUAUCCAAGGUUUCCAGGGUAAAGCUGAUCUGCCCUGGGUAAGUCGGGGCCUAAGGAGAGGCAGAAAUGCGUAUCCGAUGGACAGCAGGUUGAGAUUCCUGCACUAUCUUAAAACAGAACUGUGGGGACAUUUGUGGAGAGCACAGGCGCGGAACGGAAAGCCGCGUGCAAGCGAAGGAGGAGUCACAUAGGAAAAACCGUGUGGCAAUCCAAAGGCGUGAUGCGGACCGAACUAAAGUAGGGAAGUGUGUGAGCCAUGAAUCAAGAAAAGCCGCUAUUGUUUUUAAGAUACCCGUACCGUAAACCGACACAGGUGGAUGAGGAGAGAAUCCUAAGGCCGGCGGAAGAAGCAUUGUUAAGGAACUCGGCAAAAUGACCCCGUAACUUCGGGAGAAGGGGUGCCUGCGAGAGCAGGCCGCAGAGAAUAGGCUCAAGCAACUGUUUAGCAAAAACACAGGUCUAUGCGAAACCGAAAGGUGAGGUAUAUGGGCUGACGCCUGCCCGGUGCUGGAAGGUUAAGAGGAGAGGUUAGCGCAAGCGAAGCUUUGAAUUUAAGCCCCAGUAAACGGCGGCCGUAACUAUAACGGUCCUAAGGUAGCGAAAUUCCUUGUCGGGUAAGUUCCGACCCGCACGAAAGGCGUAAUGAUUUGAGCGCUGUCUCGACAAUGCAUCCGGUGAAAUUGAAGUACCAGUGAAGAUGCUGGUUACCCGCGCCAGGACGGAAAGACCCCAUGGAGCUUUACUCCAGUUUGGUACUGGGGUCCGGCAGUACAUGUACAGGAUAGGUGGGAGGCUGUGAACCUGGAACGCCAGUUUCAGGGGAGCCAUUGUUGGGAUACCACCCUUGUGCUGCUGGGCUUCUAACCAGCGGCCUUUAUCAGGCCGGGGGACAAUGCCAGACGGGGAGUUUGACUGGGGCGGUCGCCUCCGAAAGGGUAUCGGAGGCGCUCAAAGGUUCCCUCAGAAUGGUCGGAAACCAUUCGAAGAGUGCAAAGGCAGAAGGGAGCUUGACUGCGACACCGACGGGUGGAGCAGGUACGAAAGUAGGACUUAGUGAUCCGGUGGUAUUAAGUGGGAAUGCCAUCGCUCAACGGAUAAAAGCUACCCUGGGGAUAACAGGCUUAUCACUCCCAAGAGUUCACAUCGACGGAGUGGUUUGGCACCUCGAUGUCGGCUCAUCGCAUCCUGGGGCUGUAGUAGGUCCCAAGGGUUGGGCUGUUCGCCCAUUAAAGCGGUACGCGAGCUGGGUUCAGAACGUCGUGAGACAGUUCGGUCCCUAUCCGGCGUGGGCGUAGGAUAUCUGAGAGGAGCUGUCCUUAGUACGAGAGGACCGGGAUGGACGGGCCGCUGGUGCACCGGUUAGACUGCCAAGUCUAUAGCCGGGUAGCCAAGCCGGGAAGGGAUAAACGCUGAAGGCAUCUAAGCGUGAAGCCCCCCUCAAGAUGAGAUAUCCCAUUCGAAAGAAGUAAGACCCCUUGAAGACGACGAGGUAGAUAGGGCAGGGGUGGAAGUGCCGUAAGGCAUGGAGCUGACUGUUACUAAUCGGUCGAGGGCUUGACCUG